AAAUGACUUUUCAUCUGAGGCGUUCUCUGAAACGAAAAGCACAGUCUCUCGUGGACAUUCGGGCCAAAGGAGACACAGCUGAUCUGAAUGUGGACGAUUGGUCUGAGCCGACCCUCAAUUUAGGCAGCGUGGGUAGCGUCAAGUUCAACUCAGAGCAACACAUUUUACAACUUUGCUCCAAUUCCUUACCAGAUGUCAGUCCUCCCGUAGGAAGUAGAUUAGCAGAAUUAAAAGAAAGGAACUUGGCGCUGAAACACGAGAACGAGCUGCUAACGUGGAAAUUCAAUGUGCUUGCAGAUAUGCUUGUGGAGCAUUUUGCAGAAGUAAAGAUUUUGAAGAAUGAAAUUGAAUGGAAAGAAGGAAGGCACUAGUAGUGAUUGAUUUGUCGAACUUCAAACUAACUUAGCCUGUACAUUUUUAAGCAGUUGUAAAUUUGUAUGUAUUGAAAUAUCUAUUGCCUUAAAUCUAUUGUAAAAAGUCGUGAACAUUGUGAAUACUCUUAGAUAGGUCAUGGUAAUUUUUCAUGAAAAAUCUUUUAAAAUUGGUGAAGGUAGGCAAACUCCACAAUCCAGCAGAAAAAA
Symsagittifera roscoffensis is the source of this 581-nucleotide long non-coding RNA. RefSeq lists it as uncharacterized. The record is from RefSeq and is a predicted model, not a curated record. NCBI's taxonomy places the organism in Eukaryota, Metazoa, Xenacoelomorpha, Acoela, Convolutidae. The transcript is spliced from 3 exons.